GUCUAUGGCCAUACCAGCCCGAACAUGCCUGAUCUCAUCUGAUCUCGGAAGCUAAGCAGGGUUGGGCCUGGUUAGUACUUGGAUGGGGAAAAGACCAUCUGUGCAGAAGUAGCCAUCGGCU
This 121-nucleotide ribosomal RNA is filed under the name Propithecus coquereli (Coquerel's sifaka). Lineage: Eukaryota; Metazoa; Chordata; Mammalia; Primates; Indriidae. The record is from RNAcentral.